Molecule: ribosomal RNA, 253 nt
Filed under: uncultured bacterium
Lineage: Bacteria
Description: partial 16S ribosomal RNA
Rfam family: Bacterial small subunit ribosomal RNA
Source: RNAcentral
UACGGAGGGGACUAGCGUUGUUCGGAAUUACUGGGCGUAAAGCGCACGUAGGCGGAUUUGUAAGUCAGGGGUGAAAUCCCGGGGCUCAACCUCGGAACUGCCUUUGAUACUGCAAAUCUCGAGUCCGGAAGAGGUGAGUGGAAUUCCUAGUGUAGAGGUGAAAUUCGUAGAUAUUCGGAAGAACACCAGUGGCGAAGGCGACUCGCUGGACAAGUAUUGACGCUGAGGUGCGAAAGCGUGGGGAGCAAACAGG